This is a non-coding RNA of Desulfacinum hydrothermale DSM 13146, 357 nucleotides long. It matches the Rfam family "transfer-messenger RNA". From Rfam's summary of the family: Bacterial tmRNA, also known as 10Sa RNA or SsrA, is named for its dual tRNA and mRNA-like properties. Its role is to liberate the mRNA from a stalled ribosome. NCBI's taxonomy places the organism in Bacteria, Pseudomonadati, Thermodesulfobacteriota, Syntrophobacteria, Syntrophobacterales, Syntrophobacteraceae. The record is from Rfam.
GGGGGCGAAAAGGGUUCGACGGAGGUAGUGAAGCUUAAGGAGCAUGCCGGGGGUCCUGACCGCCCGUUAUCCGGUUGGGGUUAAAGACAAACGCAGACGACUAUGCGUAUGCCGCAGCCGCUUAGCGCGGCUGCCGUUCCUUCGGCCUGAGCCCGUAGGGCCGUAAGGAGCGUCGACUCCACGGGAUAGCUUCCGCGGCCUUGCCCACAGCCAAGGAAGCGAACAUUGAGUGGGCUAGCCACCGAGGGAUCCGGUCACGGGGAGCCCGAGGGAGCGAAAGCCAGAUCCGUGACUAAGCAUGUAGAGCCUUAAGUGGAAUGCCUUCGGACGCGGGUUCGAUUCCCGCCGCCUCCACCA